Molecule: ribosomal RNA, 623 nt
Filed under: Clostridioides difficile
Lineage: Bacteria; Bacillati; Bacillota; Clostridia; Peptostreptococcales; Peptostreptococcaceae
Description: partial 23S ribosomal RNA
Rfam family: Bacterial large subunit ribosomal RNA
Source: RNAcentral
UUGGCGGAGCCAUCCUUGGGAUACCACCCUUGUAGUACUGGGACUCUAACCAUAGGCCAUGAAUCUGGUCUUGGGACACUGUCAGGUGGGCAGUUUGACUGGGGCGGUCGCCUCCCAAAAGGUAACGGAGGCGCUCAAAGGUUCUCUCAGUACGGUCGGAAAUCGUACGUAGAGUGUAAAGGCAAAAGAGAGCUUGAUUGCAAGACAUACAGGUCGAGCAAGGAUGAAAAUCGGACUUAGUGAUCCGGUGGUUCUGCGUGGAAGGGCCAUCGCUCAACGGAUAAAAGCUACCCUGGGGAUAACAGGCUUAUCUCCCCCAAGAGUCCACAUCGACGGGGAGGUUUGGCACCUCGAUGUCGGCUCAUCACAUCCUGGGGCUGUAGUAGGUCCCAAGGGUUGGGCUGUUCGCCCAUUAAAGUGGUACGCGAGCUGGGUUCAGAACGUCGUGAGACAGUUCGGUCCCUAUCCGUCGCAGGCGUAGGAAAUUUGAGAAGACCUGUCCUUAGUACGAGAGGACCGGGAUGGACGUACCUCUGGUGUACCAGUUGUUCUGCCAAGGGCAUGGCUGGGUAGCUAUGUACGGAAUGGAUAAGCGCUGAAAGCAUCUAAGCGCGAAGCCAACU